This 460-nucleotide ribosomal RNA is filed under the name uncultured bacterium. RNAcentral describes it as "partial 16S ribosomal RNA". It matches the Rfam family "Bacterial small subunit ribosomal RNA", at positions 338 to 795 of the family's 1533-position model. The record is from RNAcentral.
CCUACGGGGGGCAGCAGUGAGGAAUAUUGGUCAAUGGGCGCGAGCCUGAACCAGCCAAGUAGCGUGAGGGAUGAAGGUCCUACGGGUUGUAAACUUCUUUUAUAAAGGAAUAAAGUGAGGCACGUGUGCCUUUUUGUAUGUACUUUAUGAAUAAGGAUCGGCUAACUCCGUGCCAGCAGCCGCGGUAAUACGGAGGAUCCGAGCGUUAUCCGGAUUUAUUGGGUUUAAAGGGAGCGUAGGUGGGCUGUUAAGUCAGCUGUGAAAGUUUGCGGCUCAACCGUAAAAUUGCAAUUGAUACUGGCAGUCUUGAGUAUAGUUGAGGUAGGCGGAAUGCGUGGUGUAGCGGUGAAAUGCUUAGAUAUCACGCAGAACCCCGAUUGCGAAGGCAGCUUACUAAACUGUCACUGACACUGAUGCUCGAAAGCGUGGGGAUCAAACAGGAUUAGAUACCCGAGUAGUC